ACGAACGCUGGCGGCGUGCUUAACACAUGCCAGUCGAACGGAAAGGCCCUUCGGGGUACUCGAGUGGCGAACGGGUGAGUAACACGUGGGUGAUCUGCCCUGCACUUUGGGAUAAGCCUGGGAAACUGGGUCUAAUACCGAAUAGGACCACGCGCUUCAUGGUGUGUGGUGGAAAGCUUUUGCGGUGUGGGAUGGGCCCGCGGCCUAUCAGCUUGUUGGUGGGGUAAUGGCCUACCAAGGCGACGACGGGUAGCCGGCCUGAGAGGGUGACCGGCCACACUGGGACUGAGAUACGGCCCAGACUCCUACGGGAGGCAGCAGUGGGGAAUAUUGCACAAUGGGCGCAAGCCUGAUGCAGCGACGCCGCGUGAGGGAUGACGGCCUUCGGGUUGUAAACCUCUUUCAAUAGGGACGAAGCGCAAGUGACGGUACCUAUAGAAGAAGCACCGGCCAACUACGUG
This 461-nucleotide ribosomal RNA is filed under the name uncultured bacterium. RNAcentral describes it as "partial 16S ribosomal RNA". It matches the Rfam family "Bacterial small subunit ribosomal RNA", at positions 29 to 507 of the family's 1533-position model. The record is from RNAcentral.